GGGAAUAGCUCAGUUGGUAGAGCGCAACCUUGCCAAGGUUGAGGUCGCGAGUUCGAGACUCGUU
Molecule: transfer RNA, 64 nt
Filed under: Neisseria meningitidis
Lineage: Bacteria; Pseudomonadati; Pseudomonadota; Betaproteobacteria; Neisseriales; Neisseriaceae
Description: tRNA-Gly
Rfam family: tRNA
About the family: Transfer RNA (tRNA) molecules are approximately 80 nucleotides in length. Their secondary structure includes four short double-helical elements and three loops (D, anti-codon, and T loops).
Source: RNAcentral